RNAcentral lists this ribosomal RNA (406 nucleotides) under uncultured bacterium. RNAcentral describes it as "partial 16S ribosomal RNA". It matches the Rfam family "Bacterial small subunit ribosomal RNA", at positions 30 to 526 of the family's 1533-position model. The record is from RNAcentral.
AUUGAACGCUGGCGGCAGGCCUAACACAUGCAAGUCGAGCGAGCGGCGGACGGGUGAGUAAUGUCUGGGAAACUGCCCGAUAGAGGGGGAUAACUACUGGAAACGGUAGCUAAUACCGCAUACUAUCAGAUGUGCCCAGAUGGGAUUAGCUAGUAGGUGGGGUAACGGCUCACCUAGGCGACGAUCCCUAGCUGGUCUGAGAGGAUGAUCAGCCACACUGGAACUGAGACACGGUCCAGACUCCUACGGGAGGCAGCAGUGGGGAAUAUUGCACAAUGGGCGCAAGCCUGAUGCAGCCAUGCCGCGUGUAUGAAGAAGGCCUUAGGGUUGUAAAGCACUUUCAGCGGGGAGGCGUUACCGACAGAAGAAGCACCGGCUAACUCCGUGCCAGCAGCCGCGGUAAUUC